Molecule: long non-coding RNA, 755 nt
Organism: Scylla paramamosain (green mud crab)
Lineage: Eukaryota; Metazoa; Arthropoda; Malacostraca; Decapoda; Portunidae
Exons: 4
Source: RefSeq, a predicted model, not a curated record
UAUUAUAAUCUUGGUAAUCUUUUCAUUUACAGAGUUUACUACUGCAGCAGUGUGACUGACUGACUGCAUGACUCACUGACAGACUGACUGACAACUUACUUACCUGCCUGAGGAACUUAUUGACUGACUGAGUGAUGCAUUAAAUGUGUAAACACCUAUUUAAGUAACAAGCUAAACAACUAGUAAUAUACAAAACAAACUAACCAACAAACUGACUGACUGGACUAACGUAACUGACUGAGUGACUUCACUACUUUUCACCACCACCAACAGUCAGUCUGCAUGCUGCCAGAUCUCUCGUGUUCCAAGGGCGGCAGGUGGUGGUGGUGGUGGUGCAGGAACUCUCCCUCUCGCCCCUCGCCACGCACCACGCGCCGUGUCGCCACUCUCAGAAAUGCUGACAGCGCCCCCCUCCCUCCCCCUCCCUGGUGCUGGGCGGCCCUCCCCUCCCACCCCGACCAUCGCCUGGCCCCUCCCUGCUCCCCACCCGGCGCAUGGGGAGGGGGCAGCCGCGCCCGCCCCCCGGCUGCCCCCCGCGCUGGCCCGUGACCCCGUCUGACCUGAUGUACCGGGGCGAAGGGGCUGACCACGUGGUGCUGGGCCUUAGGAAGCUGGAUAAUUAAUGAAGCACUCAGCCAGCACUCAGCCAGCACCCCUCACCUGGCCCAGGGACGUGUGGUGCGGUUGCGCAAGACCAGCAUCGGCAGUGGGCUGAGUAGGGAGGAGCUGGUGCGGCGGGCAGCACGGGACCUGGA